RNAcentral lists this ribosomal RNA (1278 nucleotides) under Triticum aestivum (bread wheat). RNAcentral's name for it is "partial small subunit ribosomal RNA". Lineage: Eukaryota; Viridiplantae; Streptophyta; Magnoliopsida; Poales; Poaceae. The record is from RNAcentral.
AUGGACCCGCCGCCGCCGCCGGCCUCCAUCCCCGUCCCCGACGAGCUCCUGGAGGAGAUCUUCAUCCGCCUGCCCACCCCGGACGCGCUCGCCCGCGCCUCCGCCGCCUGCACCUCCUUCCGCCGGGUCAUCAAAGGUCGCGCCUUCCGCCGCCGCUUCCGCACGCUGCAUCGCCCUCCCCUCCUCGGCUUCAUGGACGAGGCCGGAUUCCAGCCCUCCCAGGCGCCGCACCCCUCCGCCCCGCUCGCCGGCGCCCUCGCCCCCUGCGCGGCCGAUUUCUCCUUCGUCCCGGCCGUCGUCUCGUCGUCCUCCUACUUCAUGCCGCCGGGCGUCCAAGACGACGGGGAAGGCCCCCGCUGGCGCCCCUGCGACGUCCGCGACGGCCGCGUCCUCCUCGAUUGGGUCUCCCUCCACCCCCGCGCCAUGCGCAUAUGCUGCUACAUGGAAGACGGCUACGAAGUAAGCAUCCUCAUGGAUUUCGGUGAGCUCGCCCCGCAUGACCGCCCCACCUGGACCAAACGGGAGCGGUGCAACGCCGCGGAGUUCCACCUCGCCGUCUGUGACCCCCUGUCCAGCAGAUACGUGCUGCUUCCAACCAUACCCGAGGACCUCGCCGUCAAGCCGCAAGAUUACCUUCGGGAAUUCGAGCCUGUACUCGCUCCCAACACCAGCGACGACGGCGAGGAGGAACACUUCAAGGUGAUAUGCAUAGCAAAAUACAACACAAAGCUCGUCCUCUUUGUCUUCCAGUCCACAACUAUGCAAUGGUCAAUGCCUUAUGACAGGAGUGACCAUUUGAUGGUGCUGGACACGCGCACUUUGAGGUUUUCCACUGUUGACCUUCUCACAGGUUACCAUGUGGAGCUCAGAGAUCUGCCUGACCAGAGCUUUGAUCGUCGGCGCCCAAAUGCUGUUGUUUUGGGCCGAGAAGGAACCCUUGAGAUGUUUUCUCUUGUCCAUCAACACGGAUCCUUUGCCCUCUAUCAUACCUCUCUGCAGAACAAUUCGCAGGAAUGGAAGCUUGAGAAGGUCAUACAGCUGCCUCGGCAGUAUCAUGACUAUUCCAUUUCCACAGUGGGUGCAGCCGAGGGAUUCUUGUUCUUACGAGGCACUCUAGAAGGUAUUCCUGUUGAGAAUGUCAACGUGGAUUGCUACUCAAUGGAGGUCAAGACAUAUGGAAUUACCAAAGUCUGUACAAAGACGGAGAAGUACUUCAACCGCACAUGUACCCUCCCAUACUUUAGCUUCCCACCACUGUUAUCGGAACCAACUAUCUGA